Molecule: ribosomal RNA, 497 nt
Filed under: uncultured bacterium
Lineage: Bacteria
Description: partial 16S ribosomal RNA
Rfam family: Bacterial small subunit ribosomal RNA
Source: RNAcentral
GACGAACGCUGGCGGCGUGCCUAAUACAUGCAAGUUGAGCGCUGAAGGUUGGUACUUGUACCAACUGGAUGAGCAGCGAACGGGUGAGUAACGCGUGGGGAAUCUGCCUUUGAGCGGGGGACAACAUUUGGAAACGAAUGCUAAUACCGCAUAAAAACUUUAAACACAAGUUUUAAGUUUGAAAGAUGCAAUUGCAUCACUCAAAGAUGAUCCCGCGUUGUAUUAGCUAGUUGGUGAGGUAAAGGCUCACCAAGGCGAUGAUACAUAGCCGACCUGAGAGGGUGAUCGGCCACAUUGGGACUGAGGCACGGCCCAAACUCCUACGGGAGGCAGCAGUAGGGAAUCUUCGGCAAUGGACGAAAGGCUGACCGAGCAACGCCGCGUGAGUGAAGAAGGUUGUCGGAUCGUAAAACUCUGUUGGUAGAGAAGAACGUUGGUGAGAGUGGAAAGCUCAUCAAGUGACGGUAACUACCCAGAAAGGGACGGCUAACUACGUG